AGCAGCCGCGGUAAUUCCAGCUCCAAUAGCGUAUAUUAAAGUUGUUGCAGUUAAAAAGCUCGUAGUUGAAUUUCGGGGUCAGUAGGUCGGUCGUGCCACUGGUAUGUACUGACCUAACUGAUUCCUCCCUCUUGAUGAACUGUAAUGUCAUUAAUUUGGUGUUGCAGGGAAUCAGGACUGUUACUUUGGAAAAAUUAGAGUGUUUAAAGCAGGCUAACGCUUGAAUACAUUAGCAUGGAAUAAUGAAAUAGGACGACGAUCCUAUUUUGUUGGUUUCUAGGAUUGACGUAAUGAUUAAUAGGGAUAGUUGGGGGCAUUAGUAUUCAAUUGUCAGAGGUGAAAUUCUUGGAUUUAUUGAAGACUGACUACUGCGAAAGCAUUUGCCAAGGAUGUUCUCAUUAAUCAAGAACGAAAGUUAGGGGAUCGAAGACGAUCAGAUACCGUCGUAGUCUUAACCAUAAACUAUGCCGACUAGGGAUCGGAUGAUGUUAAUUUUAUAAUGA
RNAcentral lists this ribosomal RNA (503 nucleotides) under uncultured Glomus. RNAcentral's name for it is "SSU rRNA". It matches the Rfam family "Eukaryotic small subunit ribosomal RNA", at positions 569 to 1077 of the family's 1831-position model. The record is from RNAcentral. Lineage: Eukaryota; Fungi; Glomeromycota; Glomeromycetes; Glomerales; Glomeraceae.